CUCUUCUUCUUCGUCGUCUUCUGAUUUUUCUUUUUCUUUUUCCUCUUUUUCUUUUUCCUCUUUUUCUUCUUCUUCUUAUCCUUAUUCGUAUACGUAUUCUUAUUAUUAUUUUUAUAUAAUACUUUCUCGUCUCACAUCGACACACAAGUUUUCCUUUUCGAAUCUUUUCACUUUGCCAAAGUUCCUUUUCUCUUUUUUCUUUCUUGUAUUUUUUUUUCUUUUUUUUUUUGUUGUCUUUUCUUGUUUCUUCUCUUAUUCCUUUUCUUCUUCUUAUUCUUAUUCUUUUUCUUUGUUCCACGAGUCGUUGUUAUCUCGUAAUGUUUCGAAGGAAGACACGUUCCGCGCGAAUAUACGAUGAGCGAAACACAUACCAAAGAGCAAAAGAGAUGACGAAUAAGUGGAGAAGGUUUGCGGUGGAUCCGGCUAUGCGCGACGAUGAGGUAAUCUUUGCCGCAUGAGUCGGAGUUAUCUAGUCAGUUCGGACGAACGAACGAACGAACGAAUGAACAAACGAACGAACGAACGUAGGAAAGCUAGGUUCCCGCUGAUAUUUCAUUUGGUAAAUAUUCCUAAAGAAAAUCAAUUAUUCUUUUAAAGGAGAAAAUGUGAAUGACGGAAGGACGUUCGAUCGAAACGAGAUAAGAUUUUGUUAACAAUGAAAUAUCUCGAGCAAUUUUUAUCUUCAAAAAGAACAAAAAAAAAAAAAAGGAAAGGAAAGAAGAAGAACAAAAGAGAGAGAGAGAGAGAGAGAGAGAGAGGGAGGGAGGGAGAGAUGAAAAUGAUGGAAAAGGAAAGUCUAUUCGUUAGGGUAUGUAAGUACAUAGUACGUAGAUUCAACGAUUCCCUAGAAUCGAAUAAAAAGCUGAAAGAUUCGACGAUGCAAAGUGGAAAAAACGUAGAAAGAAAAGAAGAGAAGUGGAGAAGACUCGAGUUGGAUCCGGCUAUGCGCGAUGAUGAGGUAAUGUUUGCUACGAGAGUCGAAGUCUAUCUAACCAGGUCCGUACCCGAUGGAGUUAGAGUCGGUCGUCUAGAUCAGAAUCCAUGGUUACGCUGAGGGAUGAAAGAGCAGCAAAGCUGUUUGCUUGCUUACGCGAGAAACCUGUUCGCGAGUGGGCGCAAAUUUACGAGGAGACCUACAAGAGAUAUGCCAAAGGGAUGAUGAUGAUGAUGAUGAUGAUGCUGGUCGUUCGCUUAUGUUGGUCGCAGGUGUUCAACGAGAAAUACGACAAGAAAAAGGUCCUAAAUAUGGUAUAUAGGUAUACCUGGAGUCCAGGUAGAAGAAAUAAGAAAUACCAAUCGUCCCUAGUCCGUGCUUUGCCACGAAAAGCCUCGAACGAAAAGCGACGAGGCUUGACGAGGGUCGGACGGAGGGCCAACCCAAGGGGAACUUUACCGAACGUUUCGUUUCGACCUGAGCACGUUUGCUAUAACGCUGCUGUUAUAGCAGGAACGUUCGAGCACAAGGAAGCAAGCAAGCAGGCAAGCAAGCAAGCAACCAGGCAAGCAAGCAGGCAAGCAAGCAGGCAAGCAAGCAGGCAAGCAAACCAUAGUGGCACGCUACGCAGCAGCAGCGGUUCUCACGCUCGAAUCGAACGUUUUUGCUGUCAACGUGACGACAACAACUACAAAACGCUAAGGAUCUAAUACAGCGGCUAUGCCGCAGUCUGGAGCAAAAGUCUCGGAAACUUAACGUUUUCCACUUUCUUGUCUCACUUGGAAAAUCUAACGGAGGAUACAAAAUAGAAAUUGCAACUACUUUGGUAGUAACUAAUAAGGUACAUUAAAGCCGCUCGAGGAGAAAGUCGAGUCGCGAUGGUAGGAGAUCGCGAUUACGAUCUAGACGAGUGGCAGGCAAGCAAAACGGACAUGUUUUCUUUCGUCCCUACUUUCUGUGUGCUACGCGGUGUAAGUAGUAGUAAUAUAAUAAAUAAUAGAUCGAGAGAACUUACGGAUCAAAUUUUGAAAGAUUUGUUAAAUAAAUGAAAUCUCUUAUAUGUGAAAGAAACUUUCUCUUUGUGAUAUAAUGUUUAUUGUCUUAUAGAUAGGUUAUCAGUUUCUCUCUCUCUCUCUCU
Unclassified non-coding RNA from Vespa mandarinia (Asian giant hornet), 2072 nucleotides. Lineage: Eukaryota; Metazoa; Arthropoda; Insecta; Hymenoptera; Vespidae. The record is from RefSeq and is a predicted model, not a curated record.